CGCGUGGAGCAUGUGGCUUAAUUUGACUCAACGCGGGAAAUCUUACCAGGUCCAGACAUAUGGAGGAUUGACAGACAGUUAACCAAAACGCAGCAGCUAGUUUAACAAAACUAACAGCUCUUUCAAGAUUAUGUGGUAGGUGGUGCAUGGCCGUUCUUAGUUCGUGAAGUGAUUCGUUCGCCCAAUCGCAUUUCCAAACAACUAACAACUCAGAAUGCUGGGCAAUAGGACGUUUAAAGUGGCUCCUUACACCUUACAAAGGAAUGGCUGAUGAGAAACAACUCGAUCCGCUCAGCGUUCUAUUGGAAUGCAACGGACGUGAUUGCAAGCUUUUG
This 335-nucleotide ribosomal RNA is filed under the name Trilobatus sacculifer. Its description in RNAcentral is "SSU rRNA". It matches the Rfam family "Eukaryotic small subunit ribosomal RNA", at positions 1174 to 1353 of the family's 1831-position model. Lineage: Eukaryota; Foraminifera; Rotaliida; Globigerinidae. The record is from RNAcentral.